RNAcentral lists this microRNA precursor (103 nucleotides) under Marmota monax (woodchuck). The record is from RNAcentral. Lineage: Eukaryota; Metazoa; Chordata; Mammalia; Rodentia; Sciuridae.
AUUUUUAUUGCUGGGUCAUGUGGUAAGAGUAUAUUUAGUUUUAGAAGGAACCACCAAAGUGUCUUCCAAAAUGACUACAAUACUUCAUAUUCCCACCAACAAU